RNAcentral lists this small nuclear RNA (107 nucleotides) under Rhinopithecus bieti (black snub-nosed monkey). Lineage: Eukaryota; Metazoa; Chordata; Mammalia; Primates; Cercopithecidae. The record is from RNAcentral.
GUGCUCACUUCAGCAGCACAUAUACUAAAACUGGAACAAUACAGAAAAGAUUAGCAUGGCCCCUGUGCAAGGAUGACAUGCAAAUUCAUGAAGCAUUUCAUAUUAAA